CAUGUAAUAUGGAUUUAUCAUGGUUAUCUUUAAAUGAUUUCAUAAAUACAUUGAGAAAUUUCUAAUAUGGAAAAUACCAGUUGCUAGAAAACCCACACAAGCCGAAGCUCUUGGGACCCUCAAUGCUUUCGAGGGUAAGGAGGCGCUGGACCCAUAGUUUGAGAGCCACUGGCCUGGGGCAGCGGGAGCAGAGAGAAAAGAGGGCAGAGAUUAUGCCCCGUCGGGCUCCGGGGAUUGGGGCUGGGCAGGGCUAUGUCUCUGCCCUUGCAGGUGGCCGUGGCCUUGGCCUUGGCCUGGGUGAGGGCUGCUUGAACCACACUGCCAGGGCGUUUGAGGAGAAUUACACAUCUUCUGGCAAGAGAUACACGUGGGGCAGGAUGGUGACCACGAAGGCAAAGGCUGAGGCGGACUGAGACGGUGCCGCCAAGUACUGAAAGAACCACCCAGAAGCCCUGGGCGAGCCGAGGGAGAGCGAGAGGAAGCGGCCACUUCUGCCCUUGGCUUGAGCAGGGUCCAGCCCCAUGGGGUGACAGCCCAGGAAGUAAUGGGGCCUGAGUCCCGCUAUCCCAUCAGAAGCUGAAGAGGAGCUGGUGUGGGGGGGUGCCCAAGAAUUUAGAGCUGAACAGGGAUUCUUGUCACCAGUGUGCAAUUCACAGGACGCUCUGGGCCCCUUCCCAGGGAUGUGUUAAUUACCUCCCCCCACUGGUCCCCGCGGGCAACCAGGCUGGAAACGAGCAAAGGCCAGCUCCAGCUCACGCUGCUCCGUUCUGCCUGCGAAAACCCCUGUCCUCAGCCCCACGCUUGGCUCUAGGGCAGAGAUGUGGAAUUUUCCAGGAAAACUUCAAAAUCAGCACUGAGAGGGGAAGACAUUUGAAAAGUGAUGCUGAAGAGGAGAAAGAAAAGAAAAGGCAGGCUGGGCUUGGCCAGGGCUGCCCGGGACCCGAGGGCUGAGGAGGUGAAAACCGAGGCUGUGUGUUUUCAUCUCACACGGAGUCCCCAGAACAGCACUCAAACGUGACCCAGGCCCCAGGGCAUCCCGUCCUCCUGGGAUUUGAAGCUCGGGGACCCAGAGGUCCUGCGGCUUCUGCUGUGAGCCACAUCUAAGAGGGCCUCUCUGGAUGUCCAGCCAGCCAAAUGUCUGUGUCACAUCCCUAAUAUCCCACACCCGGAGUGGAGAAUCAGGGCGCAGUGCCCUGCCUGCACGCUUGGCACAGGUACCACGUUACAUGUUAGGGGGCCAUCAGGGAUGAUGGCAGAAAGCCCUCCGCCCUCGCAAGUCUCUGUUCUCAGAGACGUAACCGGGCAACUACAACUCGGUGGGACCGGCACUCAGACGGUGAGGCUGUGGGGACACAGACAGAGAACCCUAACUCAGGCUCAGGCAAUCUGGGAAGACUUUUGGGAGGAGGUGGCAUCGAGAGGACCCAGUCAAGGAGACAGUACAAUGUAGGCAGUAGGAGCUUGGCUCCAAGGCAGACUUGGGUUUGAAUCCUACCUCCUAGUUCUGUGAUCCUGAGCCUUGCCGUCCCCCGCCCAAACCCCCACCAAAAUCAGAGAUGUUAUUAGUUACCUGCCUCAUAGGACUGCUGAGGGGUUAAGCAUAAUUAUGCAGGUAAAAAAUCAUGAUGCGGGGCUUGGCACAUCCUAACCACUCAAUAAAUGAUACCUGUUGUAUUUAUAACCGUGCAAAGCUCUAUUCUCACCCCUGACAGGUCCACCCAGGUCAGACCCCCAGACUAUUCCACACCAGGUGGAGCUGCCAGCCCAGAGCAGGAGCAUGGAUGGAACCCUGGCCCUGUCAGCCUCAGCCCGGGCCCUCUCCUCAUACGGGGCACACGUGGGGGGAGGGGGGAGGGGCAGCCCCAGAGCCUAGACAGGGUGAUGACGGGCAGAGGGGGCACUGCCCACCUCUCCUGAGCCUGCGGAGUGCUGAGCACGACGCAGAGCUGAUCUUGAGGAGUAUUUUCCAGCACAGAAACUCCAAGUCACCUGCCUGGAAUGAAGCAGGGGAAAAAAAAAAAAAAAAAAAAAAAAUCCCACGGCCAUGCCCUCCCCUGGAAAAAAAAAAAUUCUAGGAAACAAAAUACAACGACAUCUUUUUAUUUUGUUUUUUUCAGUAAUUAUACUAAAGAUGAAAAACUCAUAAUAAACAUCUCCCAGUCCCCACCUGCUAACAGUAAUUAUAAUAGACUCAACAAUAAAUGGUAAAGCAGGGCAGAGCUGCGUCUCGGGAAUUCUCUAGGGCAUGUGGAUUAGCUCGGAAAGCCUGAAUGAUUAAAAUACACUAAUUAAAAUUUUGUGUUCCUUGGUAACUCGUCUGCCUGGGCCCCUGGUGUUGGCAAAAUGGGAAUUAACGUGACAAAAGCAACACAGAGGGUUUUUGUUUUAAAUAAAGAAAAAAAGAGAGCGAGAGAGAGGGAGAAGGGGAGACCUAUAUAAACAAGUUAGACACCAGGAGAAAAAAAAAAAAAAAAAGACGAGGCGGUUUCUCUCUCUCUCUCUUUUUUUUCUACUAACGAAAGCACGAUGUCUGGGACAGGGAAGCGUAAGAGAGAGGGUCCAGGCCUUGGAGGGGAGUCACGGGGGGACACAGGGAGCACGUGUCCAGGGGGUCAAUGCUUCAAAAUAAUUACUGGAGAGAAGGGGGUGGGAGGAAGAGACGUAGGGCCAGCCGGUGCCCACCCAGUCCGGCUUUCCAUUUUUUCAGGGCAGGUCACAUAGCCCCAACUCCCAGCCCCACGGCCAACGGGACCCUGGGAGGACGCAAGGGAGCUUCUACCCCACUGCAGUUGCACAAAAGAAAUUGAACACUUUUGAGUUGCCCUUAGCAACCUAAUUGCAUCAGUACAUUGCACACAGGAGCCAAAGUAACUGAAUUUUGAUGAAAAGACGGCGGUAAUUUACGGCAUCACAAAAUUAGUUGUCAUGGCGACGGGUUAAUUACAUCUCAAAUUAACAAUGCAAGUGUGGUGAAAUUAAAUAUAAAUCAUAUUUUCUGCAUAAAUUAUAGGGGUUGAUUAGACCGGGGCUCUGGGAGAGGGAAAGGUUGAGCCGCCACGGGCCCCAAGCUGCAUUCUGAGCUGACGAGAGAGGCGCCUGCAAGCGCGGGCGCGGAUGGGGAGCUCUUGGAGGGGACGGGGGACCGGUGGAGUCAGGCGCCAGGGCUGCGGGGCUGCCUCCCUCUGCUCCCGCUGCCACUCGCAGGCUCAGCUGGCUCCACGCAGCGCCAGGGCUGUCCCCAAAGUUUGCUUCUGUUUGGAUCAAACUUUGGAUGGGGGAGGGGUGGGCAGGCAAGAAGGAGGGACCGGCUGGUGCCUCUCAGCUGAGCGCCAGGGACAGAAGCUCUGCCUUUGCCCAUCCCUAAAGGCUCUCCCGGGUCCUGUGCCCUGAGCCCUCGGAGAACCCGCUGCAGAUGGCCAGCUUCACCUGGCUUUCUUCAGUUAAAUGGGGUCAAAUGGUUUCUGAGUCACAGGCACCUGCCUACCAGGGGACAGGCUCUGCGCCACCAAUGGGCAAACACGGUCAGGGCUGCACCAAGUGGGCAGGCUGUGUUGUAGGUGUAUCCAGGGGCAGCAGCCUCUGACCGCGGGCAGCGCGGCAGGCACCUCCAGCUGAAGAAUGUGCUUUAUUGACCCCACUCCCUCCUACCCAGCGGCAAGGCAGUGACUCUGCCUUCCUUGAAUGGGGAAGAACAGCGGGGUCAAGGGCAGAAGAGCCCCCCUGGAGUACUGCAUGGGAGUCCUCUGGGGUUCCACCUAGCAACACACUGCCCAAGUCAUGGGGACACUAAAGGGGCCGAGGCUAGAAAGUGGGCAGUGCCCCCGAGGCCCAUGCCCUGGCCCCUCCUACUUGUUGCAGCACUGGCAGCGCUUCUCGGUCCUGACACCAAGCACUACUGGACCAAGUUCAGCUUGGUCAGGCCAGGCGGCCUCAGCAGAACGCUGGUCGAUAGGUGCUUUAGAAGCAUGCAUCUCGCUCUUGUUCCUGGCCCCCGUUUCUCGCGUUCUGGAGAACAAGGGGGAGAACUCUGUGCGCACAGACCAGGGCCCCACGUGCAACCUGGACUCAGGUAUGGCCAGGCAGUACACCAGCAGUUCCAACCUUGAGCAGGCAAUGACUCACUGGGGAGGCUCCCGAUACCUGCGGAGUCCUCAGGCCCCUGCUUCAGAGGUUCUGAUUCUGGAUCUGAAGUGACCCACCAUCAAUGUUUUUAACUGGCUCCACCAGGGAAUCUGAUGUAGCCGGUCCCCGGUCCACACUUCCGAAGCACCAGCAACACUGCCAUUAGUCCCAUUUUGCAGAUGAGGAAACUGAGUCCCAGGGAGGUUAAGUCACUGCUGAAGACAGGGCAGAGCUGAGAUUCAAAGUCACCUCUGAGUUCGUGCAAUGCCCCUUCAAGACUGUGUCAGGCACCCUGCCAGGCCACGUGGGAAAGAGGGACCCAUGAACCACAAGUUGUCCUGGAGAGGUACACGGCCCAGUGGAGAUACAGCGGGUCAGGCAAAGAGCACGGCCCAAUAUGGCCAAUCCAGCACUAGGGGUAGGGACACUGGAGCACGGCAGCAAAGGUGGAGACUAAGGGACAGCAGGGACCAAGACGCACCAUCAGCUGGCUGAGGGCGGGAGGCACGUCCUCAGGGUCCCUAGGCUACCCUUCACCUGGCUCAGGUGGGAGGAAUUUCCUG
This 4685-nucleotide long non-coding RNA is filed under the name Sus scrofa (pig). RNAcentral's name for it is "lncRNA (ENSSSCG00005014631.1)". Lineage: Eukaryota; Metazoa; Chordata; Mammalia; Artiodactyla; Suidae. The record is from RNAcentral.